ACUUUUCGGUGACCUUCCCCACUCCUGGACAAUCGAACUUCGAUAUAUAAAUCGCGUUACGGAGGUCAUUCUAGCAACCGAAAACCUAAGCGGUUAGACGUACGUGCCAGGGUGACGGGUUACGGUUUUAUUGCGAGGAAAACAUGGAGACGUUAGAGAGAUGCCAGAAAAUUCGUAAGGACGUCAUGAUGGUACUAAUGAUCAAUCUGAGAGAUUCUUCUGCAAAUACGAGAAUUUUUGUGAUCGCGCGCAAUGCGAUUGGUAGACUCAGUGUUUGCUCGUUAUAAUUACUUUUAAUAUUCUUCAGAGCACCACAGCUCUCAUUAAAUUUAAUUAUAAUGAUCCACCCGCGAAAUUAGAGUCAGUGUUUUCGCCGGUUAUUACUUGAGCGGACGCGUUACUGGUCUUUUAUUUUUCUUUUUUUUUAUGUAUCUUUUUUAUUCGCUUUCGGUAGUAGAGUCGCAGGUCUCGCAAGAGGAUGAAGCGCAGAUAUUGAACCUCAAGAAUUUUUCUUCAGUAUGGAAUUGCACGGCUCCUCCUUGGCAAUGGUCUUCACGAUGACUUCCCUACCAAAGCAUCGAUGAUCCUGUUCCUCGCAUCUAAUGGUGAGUCGCAUGCAUUUUUGUUCCUCUGGUCACUCAAUCAUGUCGUAGGAUGAUUGGUCCGAAUCGGCACGGGUGACUGGUUGUAUUAUGUUGUUUUGACGAGCAUAAUGACCGCGGGUAUAAUACUCGCGAGUAGUAACAAUUUUUGACUGUUUUAUGUAUUAGCUCAGGAUAGGUUUUCUUGUAUGUCGCGGUUUUAGAGAUUGAAAAUAAUGCAUUAAUAUAUAAGAAAUUUGUACAAAGAAUAUAAUGUUGAUACAUAUUCGUUACGAUUAUUUAUAUAAUUAUAUUCAAAUAAAUAGCGAAAUGAUUUUGUUUAACUACUUUAUAGCGGAGAAGUCUGAUUUCCUCAGAUUUCGUUUCAAUUAUCAACAUUAUUU
Molecule: long non-coding RNA, 985 nt
Organism: Bombus terrestris (buff-tailed bumblebee)
Lineage: Eukaryota; Metazoa; Arthropoda; Insecta; Hymenoptera; Apidae
Exons: 4
Source: RefSeq, a predicted model, not a curated record